GUAUAACAUUCUACCUCAGUUACAUGUAAGUAUAACAUUCUACCUCAGUUACAUGUAAGUAUAACAUUCUACCUCAGUUACAUGUAAGUAUAACCUUCUACCUCAGUUACAUGUAAGUAUAACCUUCUAUCUCAGUUACAAGAGCUGAUGAUAAUCUCAUCUGAGAUGUGACAAUAUUGGUGAUGGAUAUACCGGGUUAUGAGAUGUGGGUGGGGUUCCACCUCCAUCCAUAUACUGACGCAAACCUGGGAUCAAAAUCGCUUGUCUUUUUCUUUCAACUAAUCUCUGUAUCUGUAUGUAAUGUACCUGACAGGAAACAAAUACUAUUUGAACCCAGGUCUGUUACACUACAGAGCUGUGGCUCUUAUCUCAUCCACAGCAGGUUUACCAUAUAGGUGGGAAUUGAGUGCUAUUUGGGAUGCAGGCUAUGCUUCUCUGUGCCCUUUCCAUUGCCCCAGGGCGCCACACAGAGAGAAGCUCAUCCUCCAACCGCUAAUGGAACAUGUGACCUUUGACUUUUACACUGUCAGCUGCACUGAGCAAGAGGGUCUGGGCUGGUGAGGAGCCAGGAAGAGGUGGACUAGAGAAUUAGAACCAGAUUCAGAGAGACCAGGAAGUAACAUGAAUUCUGUGUAUCUAUGGAUUUUAAAUGAGGAGGUGUACUGGAGAGCAGGAACCAGAGAGGUGCCAGGGAGAAACAGGCACUGAGCAAGAGGACCUGGUUAGGAGGAGGAGGUGAACUGAGGAAGUGAGACCAGAGAGACCAGGAAGGAACAGUUAUACUGCUGUUCCUGUCUUCCAGUGAGGGAAGAGGUUGCCAUUUGGGAAGCAGACCCGGACAGCAGGCACUUUCAGACUUUCCUUAUUCUGGAUCCAAAAAGAAAGGAAACAACGCAGCGGUCCAGCCCAACUGGAAGACUGGUGCAGAAUGCCGUGUCCAAGGGGCUAACUGGCAUAGCCUGCUCAGAUGAGCAGUGACAAUGGAGUUCAGGGACUCGGAGGAACCUUGAGCCAAAGUGGUUAAACAGCAUUGACUUCCCACACCAUAAGGCCAGUGACCAAUAUGCAGAAAAGCGUCCGGAAUGUCCACCUCUGGUUCCCACUCCUGCCUCCCACCUCUGGUUCCCACUCCUGCCUCCCACCCCUGGUUCCCACUCCUGCCUCCCACCCCUGCCUCCCACCCCUGGUUCCCACUCCUGCAUUCCACUCACAGGAGGAAUUUAAUAGGAGCCUGAGACACCUGCAUCUGCCUGUGGGGAAUCUGCUCUAUGAGUGUGUUAAUGCUGAACCGACAAUAACAUCACAGCCAGUAGCAUCCCAGGUAAAAUUGGACGGAAAGGAAUAUUUAUUUAUGGCUGUACCAUUUUCAAUGUAUUUGAAGAUAAUGAGCUCCCAGUGGCUGGAAGAAUGUGGAUACUCUGUGGACCACAGAGGCACUGAUGUCAGUGUUGAAGAGCCAUGGUUAUCAGCAAGCCCUGGUGGAAUACUGAAAUCCAAGGAGUUGUUGAAGAUCAAGUGUCCUGUCAUGGGGUAGAGGCUGUGAUUUUCUGGAUGAUGUCUUCAAUAGGAAAGUGAUGUGAAGGUGAUGGAGGACUACACCUCGACUGCAACCACAUGGGCCACGUGGCUACAACAUGCAGGUACAAAUUGGUCUGUUUCGCACAGGACUGAGAGAAAGUAAGGUGUUCAUCUGGACUGCAUCCCAGCAAGUUGUCAUCCCUGUUCCCUAUGAUACACAGUCCUGUGCAGAGGCUGUCCUGAGGUUGAAGGCAUUCUACUCAACACACAUGCUGACAUUUAUUGUUGAGGAGCAUCAGGCAGAUUGUCACUGAGUGACAAAUAUAUAUAUGCAGCUCUGUAGAAGUAUGUAGUCAGAUGUCUCACCUGUUUGCAGUUACUAUUAAAACCUUGUUUUUCAAUUAAAAAGCCUGACUUAAUGC
Molecule: long non-coding RNA, 1940 nt
Organism: Oncorhynchus tshawytscha (Chinook salmon)
Lineage: Eukaryota; Metazoa; Chordata; Actinopteri; Salmoniformes; Salmonidae
Source: Ensembl